UUCUAAAAUUCAGGAGCAUGGACAAACUUUCUGCCCGUUGGGGCAUAAUUUCUGUUUUUCGUCCUUGUCCGUGGAGAAGCCGUCUUCCUCCUCUUGCAGAAGCUCUCCGCAUGCAGCUGCCCAUUCUCGUAUCGCACGUCUGCAUCAACUCCUCUUCCACGUCUCUGUCGAGUUAUGACUUGUGACCUAAUUUUGGUGAUGGCUGGUCAAAUUUGUCGUGGGAAAGGGAAGGCUCAAUGAGGCAGCACAUUGUUGUAGACAGGCUUUAGCAGUCGCUGUCUGGAAUUUUUUUUUUAUUGGCGUGCCUAACAUGUCUGUUUACCUUGGUUGUGCAUGGCCAGCAAGCGAGAGAGGCAAGGGACACACACUCGAAGCAAUAGUCUGCACUUCUUCCUGUCAAUUCUGUCACCACCUGCAAUAUCCACCAACCAGCUUGGGUUCCAUCAUAUUUGUAGCAUUAAUUCAGAGUUUUUUCAGUGAUGCAUUUUUAGCUUUUAGGCUCCACUGUUUGGAAGCUUUGAGAUGGUCGAAUUUAUUUUUCAAAAAAAAUUCCCCGAAAAAUGAUCCUGCAACUACGUGCUAAGUUGCAGGUUGAAAAUCAUGUUAAUAAGGUUAUGGUAAAACUAAAAAAGAGAAUUAAGCAAGUCGAUCCGUCGCUGGC
This is a long non-coding RNA of Nymphaea colorata (pocket water lily), 661 nucleotides long. RefSeq lists it as uncharacterized. The transcript is spliced from 4 exons. Lineage: Eukaryota; Viridiplantae; Streptophyta; Magnoliopsida; Nymphaeales; Nymphaeaceae. The record is from RefSeq and is a predicted model, not a curated record.